GAAAUGCGAUAAUUAAUGUGAAUUGCAGAAUUCAGUGAAUCAUCGAGUCUUUGAACGCAUAUUGCGCCCCCUGGUAUUCCGGGGGGGCAUGCCUGUCCGAGCGUCAUUGCUGCCCUCAAGCACGGCUUGUGUGUUGGGCUUCCGUCCCUGGCAACGGGGACGGGCCCAAAAGGCAGUGGCGGCACCAUGUCUGGUCCUCGAGCGUAUGGGGCUUUGUCACCCGCUCCCGUAGGUCCAGCUGGCAGCUAGCCUCGCAACCAAUCUUUUUAACCAGGUUGACCUCGGAUCAGGUAGGGAUACCCGCUGAACUUAAGC
RNAcentral lists this unclassified non-coding RNA (315 nucleotides) under plant metagenome. RNAcentral describes it as "partial contains 5.8S ribosomal RNA, internal transcribed spacer 2, and large subunit ribosomal RNA". The stretch from base 1 to 106 matches the Rfam family "5.8S ribosomal RNA", at positions 50 to 154 of the family's 154-position model. The record is from RNAcentral.